RNAcentral lists this unclassified non-coding RNA (624 nucleotides) under Hevea brasiliensis (rubber tree). Lineage: Eukaryota; Viridiplantae; Streptophyta; Magnoliopsida; Malpighiales; Euphorbiaceae. The record is from RNAcentral.
AAGAAAAAGAAGAAGAAGAAGAAGCAUCUAACCUUUGAUCUCCAGCUUCAGUUAUGUUUUAAACCCUACUGAAUUUUUUUUUCUCACUUCUUCUCUUCUACUCAACUCUAGUUAUCUUUUCUUUUUGUUUCAUCCGGUUGCUCUUUUUUAUUUUUUCUUCCCCUUCCUACUAUGUUUUUCGUCCAUCUUUUGCUCUGCUCUUCUACUCAUAUUCUGUUUUUCUUUUCCCUAAAUUUCUUAAUUUCUUUACUAUUUACUGUGAAAGUAUGAUGACAUGUUGUUACUCUAAAUUUCUUUUAUUGGCUUUAUGGGUUAAAUUUCUUAUUAGCUUUUAGUUUUAUGUUUGAUUAAAUUGAGUUGUAACUUGCAUGUUGCUAUUACAAACUAUUAGUUUGUGUUACUAUAAUUGGGAUUAUGCUAUUGUUACUAUAAAUUGGAUUUAUGUUAUUAUAAAUUAUUAGUUCUUUUUUGAAAAAAAUAAAUUAUUAGUUUCUGUUAUUAUAAUUGGGAUUAUGUUGUUAAUAUUAUAAAUAGGGUUGUAUUUUGCUAUAAGGUAAAUUAAGUUUAUGUUAUUAUAAAUUAUUUAUGUGAACAUAUAUUAUGUACAUAUUUACAAUUUUUUUU